AUGAACAAGAUGACAAAUGAAGUUAAUGGCUUAAAGGAUUAUGUUAAGAUGCUUGUGAGCAAAAUGGAUAGUAUGGUGGGAGAAAAUGAAGCAUGGCUGCCUGCUCAACCAAUUCCAAACCCGAAAGCUCACUCUGGGGCAAUAUCUUCAGUUGAUGCAGUGACUACAAGGAGUGGAGCUAUGACAGGACCAUUACUUCCUAUUCCGAAGACAUAUGUGCCUCCUGCUAUGAGGCCAAGUUCAUCCGGAACUCCACCUUCAACAUCCACCUUCAACAUCAUCAGAGAAAAUAAAGGAGAAAGAAGUUGA
RNAcentral lists this ribosomal RNA (309 nucleotides) under Triticum aestivum (bread wheat). RNAcentral describes it as "partial small subunit ribosomal RNA". The record is from RNAcentral. Lineage: Eukaryota; Viridiplantae; Streptophyta; Magnoliopsida; Poales; Poaceae.